This 183-nucleotide small nuclear RNA is filed under the name Zalophus californianus (California sea lion). RNAcentral's name for it is "U4 spliceosomal RNA (ENSZCAG00015000261.1)". The stretch from base 1 to 69 matches the Rfam family "U4 spliceosomal RNA". The record is from RNAcentral. Lineage: Eukaryota; Metazoa; Chordata; Mammalia; Carnivora; Otariidae.
AGCUUUGCGCAGUGGCAGUAUCAUAGCCAAUGAGGUUUAUCUGAGGCGUGAUUAUUGCUAAUAGAAAUAGCCUGUAUAAAUACAUUAGAAAUAUUAACAACAUUCCAUCUCUAGGACAACAAAGUCCGCUCAAUACUCCCCAAGAAGUUCCUGGAAAAUGAUGUGACCUAAAGCUCAACUCAU